AGGGCUAUACAGAGAAACCCUGUCUCGAAAAAAAACAAAAAACAAAAAACAAAACAAAACAGAGCCUCACUGUGUAGUCUUGAUUGGCCUUGAACCCAGCCAUCUUCUACCAGUUAUUAAAGUUAAAGAAUAAUGAGAAUGAUCUAUAGACAGUAGUAUAUCAAGUGCUGCCUGUGGAUCUAAAUGGUAUUGAUAUGUGCAAUUUAUAUAACAUUUCGUGGGCAUUAUUAUUUUAAAUUUAAGAGUGUUCAGACAAACUUCAAACUUGCCACGUAGCCUUAAACUUUGACUUUUGUGCCUCUACUCUUCAGUGCUGGAAUUUCCAGGCUAUGUGCUUUUAUUUUUGUGUGUGUGUGUGUGUGUGUGUGUGUGUGUGUGUGUGUGUGUGUAUCUGCAUUGAUAAAGCAUGACAUGGCACUUUAGUGGAAGUCAGGAGACAGUGGGGGAAGGGUCUGUUCUUAGGUUAUCAGGUUUGCCCUGUAAGCAUUUUUUUCUCACUGAACCAUCUAGCUGGCCUCUCCCUUUAUUGGAGACCCAAGUCUCUGUAGUCAGUGACCAUACACUUAACUUUUAGUGUCUCGUUUGGCACUUAACAUUAAAUAUAGCAAUAUUUUCAGAUGGUGAGAAUAAUAUAAAGGCAUUACUUUAUUUGGAGAUAGUACUUCAUUUUUCCUGUCUCGAUGGGAAGGAGACAUUGACUACUUGUUCAGUGGGUCUAUGUAAAGAAUUGGGACUGGGGCAGAUGAGCUGGAGAGAAUUGACAGAAGGUUGCAGCACUUUGGAAUGAAUCCAUAGGUUCCUGCUACCCAUUGCAGUGUGAAAGGUCCAUCUGGGCCUCCCCUAAGUUAAAUAAAAUGAAAUAUACAUAGAAUAUGAAAGCUUGUUUCACUAAUCUGCUUAAAUCAAAAAGACUUGGAAAUGUCAGGCACAGACUAGAUGGAAGAACCGAAGGCUUGCUGAUGACUUGCAACAUCUCAGUAUGUAAUUUCUCCUGUUUUCCACUAAACUCUACACCCUGCCUGGUACUUGAUUCUCUAUUUCAUCUCAUCUCAAAGAGAGCAGUGAAGAGAGUCACUAGGAUCUAGGAGUUCAAGACUAUCAUGAGUAACUAAUGAGACUCCUAUUUCAAAUAUUUGCAGAAAAAUAAAGACAACAUAAGUCCAUUUAUAUAAAGUUUAAAAAUAAGGGACUGCAAGAUUUGAGCUGCCUUUGAAAGUCUUUAUAGAGGAGGCUGCCCUGUCUUUUGCCUCCUAAGUGGUGGGCUUAAAGGUAUGCACCAUCAUGUCUGGCUGGCCCAAAUUGAGGGAUAAUUAUUAAGGGAUAAUUUUCAUAUAAUUAAGUAUACAAAGUUUAAAAUAUAUAACUGAGUAUCAGCAACUGUAUACACAGGUAUAACUGCCAUCACAAACAGUGAUGGACCAUUAAGAUUUCCCCAAAACUCAAAACCUAUACAGUCACAUAAUCCAGGCAGUAGCUGAUCUGAAUUUUCUCUUCUCUUCUCUUCUCUUCUCUUCCUCUUCUCUUCCUCUUCUCUUCCUCUUCUCUUCCUCUUCUCUUCCUCUUCUCUUCCUCUUCUCUUCCUCUUCUCUUCCUCUUCUCUUCCUCUUCUCUUCCUCUUCUCUUCCUCUUCUCUUCCUCUUCUCUUCCUCUUCUCUUCCUCUUCUCUUCCUCUUCUCUUCCUCUUCUCUUCCUCUUCUCUUCCUCUUCUCUUCCUCUUCUCUUCCUCUUCUCUUCCUCUUCUCUUCCUCUUCUCUUCCUCUUCUCUUCCUCUUCUCUUCUCUUUUCUGUUUUUCGAGACAGGGUUUCUCUGUGUGGCCCUGGCUGUCCUGGAACUCACUUUGUAGACCAGUCUGGCCUUGAACUCAGAGAUCUGUCUGCCUCUGCCUCCCGAGUGCUGGAAUUAAAGGCGUGAGCCACCACUACCUGGCCUACUGAUCUGAAUUCUAUCUCAUCAUAGAUGAGGGUUUUCCUGUUCCUGAUCAGGGCAGCCUUACUCUAUGUAUCCUCUCAUUUUUUUCCAGGCCAUCUAUUAUGCACCUUUUUGUUGUUGUUUUGUGACAGUUUCUCCCAUGUAGUCCUGACUGCCCUGAAACUUGCUUUAUAUACUAGGCUGGCCUCAAAAUCAGAGAUCCACCUGCCUCUGCCUCCUGAGUUAUGGUACUCAAGGCAUAAUUUUUUAUCUAGUCCAAUAUAUUUUGUGUGUCUUUAUGCCUCUGCUUGAAUAUACUGAAUUAGAGGAUAGCGAUUGACUUUAGUUAUGUCCACAAAUUCCAGAUCUUUAUGCUUGGUAGCAUCUCCUUCACUGACAGCAAUUGGUUGGAUUUUUGUAUCUUGUUUUUGUUUUGCUAGUUUUGUUUUUUGAUUUGUAGGCUUUAUGUAAUAAUGAAUGGCUCGUUAGCAUUUAUACUGUUUGUUUUCUGAGCCUCCUAGAAUGAUAGUUUGGAAUAUCACAAGUUCUUGGUCAUUAAAUUUUCAAUGUGUUUAUGUUUUAAUAUUUAUCUCCACACACACAUACACAUACACACACACACACACACACACACACACACACACACACACACACACACAGAGUUUUUCUGUGUAGCGCUGACUGUCCUGGAACACGGUCUGUAGAUAAGGUCUGACCGGAUUGUUUACUUAUCAGUCUGUUCCCAAACUAAUGAGUUUGUCAGAGACAUUCUUUAGCUUUGUUACUUUGUUUUAGCUUUUCCUUAGAAUUCUUAGGGUUCUUAUUUCCCAAUAUUUCUGCUGUAUCUGUGUCUGAUUCCAAGGCUGGUAGGACUGAUAGACUGCUUUAGAAAUUUCCAUUUUCCGAUCACCUUCAGAAUCUUUUUUAGCAGCUCAGGACAUCAUGGAACUUCAGAUCCUCCUGGCUUCGCUUCUUUAGUGUUGAGAUUAUAGGUGUGUACCACCAUGCCAUGCUUAAUUUCUUUAGGUAGCUGAACAUAGGUAUAUUGAUUGAGUAAAAGGAACUCACUCUCUGAACCUCACUCUGAGGAAUCUGUAGAGUUGUUGUUUUUUAGUUUUCAGCUUUUAACUUGUUUGGUCAGAUUCAUAACUUCCAAGUUCCUUAUAUGCUGAACUGGCAAACUGUUUACUCCUUAAAACUUCACUAUGCAUUUCUUUUCCAUUUUCUUGUUCUAUUUCUUACCCUUUGUUUCCAGUGGCUCACUGGUUUUGAGAUUCUGUGCCAGUAAACUCACCUUAAAGGUGCUUGAGUACUAUAAUAUUCUACCUGGAUAUUCUUUUUUUUUUUUUUUAAAGAUUUAUUUAUUAUAUGUAAGUAUACUGUAGUUGUUUUCAGACACCCCAGAAGAAAGAGGGCAUCAGAUCUCAUUACAGAUGGUUGGGAGCCACCAUGUGGUUUCUGGGAUUUGAACUCAGGACCUUCGGAAGAGCAGUCAGUGCUCUUAACCACUGAGCCAUCUCUCCAGCCCUCUACCUGGAUAUUCUUUAGGGAUAUAGAUGAAUUGUAAGUGACAAAUGUGACUUUGCAGUAAUAGAGUGGUGUUCUGUAUGAAUUCAGAUCUUGGAAGUGACUAGUUGUCCUUUGCCAGUUUUGUUUUUAUGACAGACCAGAACAAGUAUUUAGCUUUGAUUAGCUGUAGAUAAUAAUCUUAAGGAUUAGCUGGGCCUUUGUGGUCGUGCCUUUAAUUCUAAAAGAUGAAGGAUGAUCUCUGAAUUUGAGGCCAGCCUUGUCUAAGAGUGAGGUUUAGGACAGCCAAAAAACUACACAAGAGAAACAAUGGCCUCAAAAACAAAAAAACCAAAACAAAACAAAAAUGAAUAAACAAAUAGGAAUAUAUAUUGAUGGGUUACUAAACUAGGCGUUUUGCCUAGUGAGGAGUUAAAGUUAACAUGCUCUUUACAUUCCAAAAUGACAUAAUCUAUUGGCCAAAAUUCUGGUUCCUCUUAUGGCAGUCUGUCAGUGGCUUACUGCUGGAUUAUAGGCAUAUGAGGUAGGAUGCCUAGCUUCCACUGCUUUGUUAUUUUGGACUGGGAUUCACGCACCCAGGCUGGCCUUAAGUCAUUAGCAGGAGCUGGAGAGAGAGCGCUCAGUGGUUAAGAGUACUUAUUAAAUCCACUGUAACUGACUUCCAAGGGACCUAGUGCUUUCUUUUGACUUCUGUAGGCACUGCGCACAUGCAGUACAUAGUCACAUAUGCAGAACACGCAAGCAUAUAGUUUAUGGUUUUUUUAAUGUCAUUAAGCCGAAGAUGACCUUUAACUUUUGGUCUUUCUGUCUCUACUUCCAAAAUGUUAGGAUUUGUUGAAUGGACCACUGGGCCUAAUCUAUGCAUGCUAGGCAAGCACUCCACCAAUUCUGCUACAUCCCCAGUCCCGAUCUUGUGUUAUUGAAAUUCUUCGUUACAAAAUGUUUUCUUUUUGAUAAAAUUCCAACAGAAUGUAUUCUUUUUUUUUUUUUUUUUGCAUUAGGUUUCAUAGAGUGGAAAUGUAGGAUCUUUCAGUCUUUAAAGACUAGAAUUGUGGAUAUUUUCUUUUGAAAAGGAACUUAAUCUCUACUCAUGAGCAUGGUUGGAACACUAUGUUGGUGUCCUGGAGCUCUACCUAGUACCCUCUACACUGUGCUAGUCUGGCUCCAUUCCUUCUUGGGCUCUAUAAACUUUAACAUUUAGAGAUUCUUGACUUCAUGUGCUGAUGGAAAGGAGUUGAACAUAGCAUUGUGGGCUCAGACAGUGCAGGCCUGUGUAGCAUACUGACACUUAGAGCAGGGUGUGAGAGGUCAGAAGCAUCAGGUUGUAGCCCAGGCCUUUUUUUGUUUGUUUGUUUGUUUGUUUUGUUUUUUUAAAACAAAAUGUUAAUCUUCAUCCACAUGCAUUCUGCCUUAUAAAUCUUCUUUUUUCUUUUUGUUCUUUUGAGACAGAGGCAAGUCUUAAGCUCACAGAGAUCAGGUUGUCCCUGCCUCGUAGUAUGUUGGAAUUUCAAGACUAUCACUCUACUGGGCUGGCUACAUAGUCCUUAAAGUUAGCUGAAUAGCUAUCACACAUUGACCAAUAAACAAAAAUGAAUGUAUGCCAGACACAGUAUAUACACAACACACACACACACACACACACACACACACACACACACACACACACACACAGCUAAAAAUAAAAUAAAUCCUGGAAAUAAUAAAACACCACCAGAUGUGGUGGUGCACGCCUUUAAUCCUAGCACUUAGAAGGCAGAGGCAGGCGGGUUUCUGGGUUUGAGGCCAGCCUGGUCUACAGAUUGAGUUCCAAGACAGCCAGGGCUACACAGAGAAACCCUGUAUUGAAAAACCCCCAAAAACCAAAAAACCAAAAAACCCCAUCACAUACCAAAAUUAACCAGACCCCAAGAGACAGUAUACGUCAGCUGCUCUGGAGUUAGAAUAGCUGUUCCGAAGCUUCUUGUUGGGAUUUAUGCUUUCACAUUUAAUAAUAUGUUUUUUGUGCAUUUAUCUACCACCAAAGUUAAAUUAAAAAGUUAACAGAUUUCAACUAGACAACCAAUUACCUUUCUAUUCUCUUUAUAACUCAUGUCUAUUUCAUGGAUUCAGUCCUUCCUCGGUGCCAACCUUUCCACCUUUCCUCCCCACACUGGUUUUCAUGGUGUAGCCCUGGCUCUCUUAGAACCAGGUUAGCCUUGAGAACUCAUAGAUGCUGGCAUUAAAGGCAUGUACCACACACCCAGCCAGAGGGUUUUGUUUGUUUAUUUUAAUAAUACAGUUGAUUUUUAAAAAGCCACAAAAUUAAGCGUAAGUAUACUAAUCUAAGUAUAGCUAUCCUGUGACAAUAACGCAGGUACGGUUUUUUUGUUUUUGUUUGUUUGUUUGUUUUUAAAUAUCAAGCUUGUUUUCUGGAGAAGGGCUUGAGGUGUAGGUAUUCACUAGGUUGGUAUAUGUGUGCAGAUGUUAUGGCACACAACACCAAUACUCUGAGGCUCCAGAGACCUGCCUGAGCUACCUAGUGAGUUCCAAGUCAGCUUUGAGACCUUUCUAGAAAGGGAUAGAGAGGUGUCACAUUUGGAGUCAUUACGAGGAGGAAAAAGAAGGGCUUUGGGGGUGUUGGAGCUGGGGGAGACAACCAUCAUUUAUAGGGGUAACAGUAUGCGUGUGUGAGUCUGUUGUCUUUCAUGGUCUUUUUUAGUCACCCUGCUAUCUGUAUCUGAAAAUACAAAUGCAGUAAUUGUUCAUUAGGUCAGGGUUGGACUGAAUGUGUGUAAGGUAGUAAAGGGAUGUCCAGUGUAAUAGAGAGAAUGACUGAUGGAUUGAUGUUUGGAUAAAUAAAGAGAAAUGAAAGUAAUUGGCACAAAUAUGCACAGGAAAUGCAUGGUACAAUUCAUAGAUGAGGGAAAUGUUGGAUUGGGAGGAAAAAAUGUUAGAAAAAUGAAAUACUAGUGUAGGCGGGGAUAGGUAGUUUGGGCACAUACGACAUGAGUGCAGAUAAAGCACAGAAGUGAGAAUUUGAACAUAGGACAUGGUAAAAUCAUGUAGGGGAGAAUAUCUGGGCUAAGGGAGCAGCACAGGACACUGUUAUAGUAGUGGGGUUUCUGCAGUUUGAAGAUUUGAUGAUGAUAAAAAACUAUACAAGUUCGGAACAUGGGGGUGUAAUCUUAGUACUCUGGAGGUUGACAUGGGAUCUCUGCAAGUUCCAGGCCUAUUCUGACUACAUUUUAAAGACUCAAUUUUUGAAAUAAAAAGGAAAAUGUUUAUAUGGUGCUGGAUGAGACAUAGCAAAGAAUCUCAAAUAAUUUUGGUUGAUGGUGAGAGGAGGGAGACCCCAGCUAUAGGACGACAGUUGGCAGUUUGGUGACGAAUGGAGGAGGUAGAGUGGAGCGAGAUCACUGUGUAUUCAUGAGUGCUUAUGGAGAGGCAAUAAGAAGCAGUAUUUGGCCCAGCUGGAAAAAAUCAGCCAGUACUUCUGUGGUCUUUGGAAAGUGAUUCUCCCUCUCUGCCUCCCCCUCCCCCUCCCCCUCCUCCUUCAUUUUUAACGUUUUAUUUACUUUAUGCAUAUGAGUUACACCAUCGCUGCCCUCAGACAGAGCUGAAAAGAACAUCAGAUCCUAUUACAAAUGGUUGUGAGCCACCAUGGGGUUGCUGGGAAUUGAACUCAAGACCUUCAAAAGAACAAUCAGUGUUCUUAACUUCUGAGCCAUCUCUCCAGGCCAUGACUUUUUUUCUUAAGGAGAUUGUUUUGCUAUGUCAAGAGAUGUAAAAUUGCUGUGCAUAGCAGCCGCAUUAAUAUUCGCACCAGGAGUGAUGGGAAUUUACAUUUCAUGUAUGAGAUAUUCAAUAGUAUGUAUGUAUGUAUGUACACACACAUACAUACACAAUUUGCACUAAAGCAUUGAUGGUAAUUUUUGUUUUUAUUAGGUUUAUAAUUGUCAUACUGAAACUUGGCCCACAUAAUUUUGUGCCCAAAAUACUGUAGAAUAGAAUACUAUUGUUCUUGCCAAUAUCUUUAUCUUACAUGUAGUUUCCAUAGGUUGGAUCUGUUAAACUGACUAGUUUUCUUCAGUGUAGUCCUAUAGGAGAAGAUGUACAUUCACCAUAUGCUCACAUUGCUUUUCUCGUUUUUGUGUUAUUUUGGAUUAAACCUAGGGCUUUCUGUAUUUGAGGGAAGUGCUGUACUAUUGACCUACAUUCUUGCUGUAUGCAUCCUGACAUUCUUUAGCAAAAGAAAAAAGAAAAAGAAAAACUGGGAUUGAAGAUUCCUGAGAAACAGCACAUAAUCAUUUAAAAAAGUGGCCCUACCUUUCUGCACCUAAUACCCCCAAUUCAGCUCCCCCCAUUAUGCUCCCACAUGUCCUUUGGAGUUCUUCCAUCUGGCAUGCUUUGUUUUCUUCCUAAUUCUUCACGCUGGUCUAUCAGUCAAUUUAUCUUCCAUCAGCCCCUGUAGUUCAUCACACUCAAUUAUCUCUGAUCCUCUCCCAUCUCCACCCACUGCACAUACAUAUCCAGUGCUCCAUUGCUCAGGCUGUGAUCGAUUGCCUUUCCUCUCCUGCCAUCUUUCUCCUUGAACUAGGCUUUCCAUUCAGAUACUAAUGGUGGAGAAGUGUUCCAGUCCAAGCCUGAAUUACACUUCGUGCAUCCUGACUUGUUUCUCAACUGUGAAUUAUCCGUGAAAGCAGCAGGUGGGGAGGAAAAGAGAAAUUUAAAAACACCUUACUAGGCUCUCAAGUGACUUUGGAAUAACUACUGCUAUGUUAAAUAGAUAUAGUCCACUGCUGCCUGCAGUUUUUAUGUUUUGACAUAUUUAGCAUAGUUGUAUUAUUACACUCUGAAAAACAGACUAACUGCUUUAUUUGGUUAAGCAUAAAUUAAUCUGUAAGUUGUAGAGUUCAUUACCUGUGUUGUAAGUGGUUACAACUUAAAACUCGGGUGAGCAUGAUAGAAUUGCUGAUCUUAAAAAUUGAUUGUCACUGUGUUUGUCUAUUUUGCUAGCUUGACAAGUGCAUCAUCUGUUUUUGCUGAAACAAAGAACGUAAAAUCUGAGUGUCUAUCUAAUUAGGGAGUACCUUACUUUAUUCAUCUUUUAUAACUCUGAUGAGUGCCCUAUCAUUUCUUUCAUAGAACUCAAAACUGGAGGUGAAAAUUGAACUCUUCUGGUCUUGGGUAUUUGGUUUUAAGCUAUUUCAGAUGAAGACCAGGACAUUUAUACUUAAAGGCUAUUGAAAGAAUUACAGAAGGUGCACUUUUAACAAGUGUGUGCAUGCAUGCGUGAGUGCAUGCAUGCGUGAGUGUACUAUAUAUAUAUAUAUGUGUGUGUGUGUGUGUAUAUAUAUAUAUAUAUAUCUCCAAGCCAUAACAUUUGUGUGGAGGUCAAAGGACAGUUUUCAAGAGUCAUUCAAGAGGAAUUUCUCCUUGUUGAAAACAAGGUAUAUUGUUUCUACUAUGAAUCUACUCAAGGCUAGCUUGUCCUCUUGCCAGCCCCUAGGUGAUUUUUCCUCUCUGCCUCCUUUCUUGCUGUAGGAGUGUUAGGAUUCAGAUACACGUCACCAUAUCCACCUUUUAAAAUUUUUAUGUGUAUGAGCAUCAUGUGUGUGACUGGUGCCCAUUGGGUUCAAAAGGCAUAGGAUUUUCUGGGACUGGAGUUAUAGAUGGUAUAAGCUGCCAUGUGUGCUGUGGUGUUGUGAAUCGAACCCAGGUCCUCUAAAAGAGAAGUGCUCUUAUCCUCUGAACCAUCUCUCCAGUCCCUGGAAAAGAGUCUAGCAUUUUAUGUGGGUCCAGGGAAUGGAACCCCUGUGUGGUAAAUGAUUUUACCCACAGAACCAGUCACCUUACUAGCCUAGUCAAGGUUCCCUAGAGAAACAAAACUGAGUAUAUAUUAAAAGAGAGGAUUUAUUGGAUUGGUUUACGUGAUAUGGUCUAUAUAGUUCUACAACUGCUGUCUUCAUACUGAAGAGUGAAACAUAAGGCUGAACACCUCAGCAGUCUCAAUUCUGACAUUUUCCUUGGAGAGUUACUUACUGGUCUUCUGUCCACAUUAGAAACUAGGCUCUGAAGCUGGAUGCUGGUGGCACAUGCCUUUAAUCCCAGUACUUCGAUGGCAGAGGCAUAGACAGACGGAUCUCUGAGUUCAGAGGUCAGCCCAGUCGAGUUCAAGUACAGCCAGAACUGUUAAGAAAAACCCUGUCUCAAGGAAAGAAAGCAAAGCAAACAAGCAAGCAGCAGCCGGGUUCUAAUGUCUGAAAAAUGGUGAUUUCAGCUGCAGCAGCGUAGACCUUGCCUGAGAGACAAGAAGGUAAGCAGGCAAAACAAAAACCUUUCCUUUCAACCUCAGUGUGUCUGGGUUGCUAUUGGAAGAUAGUACCCACACUUAGGUAGUCUUCCCACUUUAAUUCAUAAUCAAGAAUAUCUUUCACACAUGGGCCCAAGGGUUGUCUCUUACUUGAUACAGUUACACUGACAACUAAGAUUAAACAUCAAUGUGAAGCAUCAGCUAUAGUGUCUGAGAAAGAAGUUUGUACAAACUUAUGUCCCAUUCUAAGUAAGUCCAGCACACCCUUCCAGACCUGUCUUUUACUUGAACCUCUGUUUCUAGAGAUGUAGUACAAACUAUCUGGGCUCUCAGCAUAAAACCGUUUGUAUGGAGACCAUGCAAAUCUUUGCUGCCUAUACAUUGCUUCUGUAUAGUACUAUUUGAAUUCAAGAAUAAUACUUGAAUAGAAAAGAGGAAAAAAAAAAUAAGGAUAGGGUCUCAUGUUAGCUUGGAACUCAUUGAGUAGACCAGAUUGGCAUAGAACUCAGACCCACUUUCCUCUGCCUCUCUAGUACAAGGAUUAAAGGGGCCCCACCAAGAGGGCUAAAUACAAUAUUUUUUUAAAUGGUUGUUUAUUUUUAUUGUGUGUGUGUUUGUCUUCAUGUAUGUGUGUGCACCAUAUGGUGCCUGUGGAGGUCAGAAGAGGGUGAUGGAUUCCCUGGAACUGGAGUUUCAAAUGCUUGUGAGCCACCAUUGUAUAGGUUUUAGAAAUGGAACCCUGGUUCUCCACAGGAACAUUUUUAACCAUGGAGUCAUCUUUCCCAGCCCUUAAGAACAAUAAGUAAUGUUUAUGGCACUUAGAACAGUGAUCACAUAUUUCUGGCAUCUUUAUUAGAUUUUAAUAGUUUGUCUUUUGGGACACUUUAUUGAGAUACCAAACUUAAUUUCACCUUUUUUUAAAAGAAUUAUUUAUUUUAUAUAUAUAUGAGUACACUGUAGCUGUACAGAUGGUUGUGAGCGUUCAUGUGGUUGCUGGGAAUUGAGCUUGGAACCUCUGCUUGCUCUGGCCCCAAGAUUUAUUUGUUAUAUGUAAGUACACUGUAGCUGUCUUCAGACACACCAGAAGAGGGCAUCAGAUCACAAUGUAGAUGGUUGUGAGCCACCAUGUGGUUGCUGGGAUUUGAACUCAGGACCUUCGGAAGAUCAGUCAGUGCUCUUAACUGCUGAGCCAUCUCACCAGCCCAAUUUGACCUUUUCAAAGUGGACAUUUUUGUUGGUUUUAGUAUACUCUUUUUAAGUCUGUAACCAUCACCUCAGUCAAUUUUAAAGCUUUUUGUCAACUGUAAGUAAACUCCAAAGUCCUUUAGCAGUCAGUCUCUACUCCACUCCCUACAUGCUAGCUUCUGGAAUCCACUCAUCUUUUAAAUUUGCUGAUUGAACCUUUCCCAUGAGCAGAAUCACUCAAAUGUGCACACUUGUGACUGAUGUCUAUUUUUUAUCAGGAUGUUUUGAAUGCCCAUUCAUGUUUCAGCAGGUGAACUAGUUUGCUUUCUGUUGCUGUAAUUGAACACCAUGUCUAAAAGCAAUUUGAGGAUGAAAGGGUUUAUUUGACUUAAAUUUCCACAGGAUGUUUUAUUACUAAGGGAAGUUAGGACAGGGACUCAUGAAAGAACUUGGAGGCAGGAACUGAGGCAGGGACCAAAGCUCAGCCUGCUUUCUGACAUAACCCAGGGCCACCUGCCCACAGGUAGCAACACUAUCGGGUAUGCCCUCACUUCAAUCAUUAAAGAAAUGCCCACCAGCUUGCUAGCCUCUGUGAAUUGUUGGUUAGAGUCAGUCUGCGUGAGAUUUGUGAUGUGAUCCCUUUUCUCUCAUGACUCCAUGUUGGAACCCAUUAGAACUGUGUCCUGAUGAGGAGGUGAGUUGAGUUGGGUACUUAGCAAGGGUGAGUCUUUCCAGAACAGCCAUUUUUAUGUAAUCUUGUUGUAUGUUGGAGGAGCAUCUUUUGGGUUUAUGUCCAGGAGUGGUAUACCUGGGACUUCAGGUAGUACUAUGUCCAGUUUUCUGUGGAACCGAAUUUCCGGAUUUCCAGAGUGGUUGUACCAGCUUGCAAUCCCACCAGCAGUGGAGGAGUAUUUCUCUGUGUCCACAUCCUCGCCAGCAUCUGCUGUCACUUGAGUUUUUGCUCUUAGCCAUUCUGACUGGUGUGAUUUGGGAUCUCAGGGUCGUUUUGAUUUGCAUUUCCCUGAUGAUUAAGGAUGUUGAACAUUUCUUUUGGUGCUUCUCAGACAUUCAAGUUGAGAAUUCUCUGUUCUAAAAAUAGGGUUAUUUGGUUCUCUGGAGUCUUAACUUCAUGAGUUCUUUGUAUAUAUUGGAUAUUAGUCCUGUAUCAGAUGUAGAAUUGGUAAAGAUCUUUUCCCAAUUUGUAGGUUGUUGACAGUGUCCUUUGCCUUAUAUUCAACUAUAUUUUAUUUAUAUUUUGAAAGAUUUAUUUAUUAUAUGUAAGUAUACUGUAGCUGUCUUCAGACACUUUUUCUUCUCACUCUAGCCCCGCUGUCUACGGGCCAAAGAUUUAUUUAGUUAUUGUAUGUUAAGUACACUGUAGCUGUCUUCAGACACACCAGAAGAGGGGAUCAGAUCUUAUUAGGGAUGGUUGUGAGCCACCAUAUAUAUAUAUAUAGUUGCUGGGAUUUGAACUCAGGACCUUCGUAAGAGCAGUCUUAACCAUUGAGCCAUCUCUCUAGCCCACUUUUCAAUUUUAUGAGAUCCCAUUUGUCUGUCGUUGACCUUAGAGCCUGAGCCAUUGGUGUUCUAUUCAGGAAAUUUCCCCCUGUGCUGAUCUGUUCCAGGUUCUUUCCCACUUUCUCUUCUAUGACAUUCAGUGUAUCUGGUUUUAUGUGGAGGUCCUUGUGCCACUUGGACUUGAGCUUUGUACAAGGAGAUAAGAAUGGAUCAAUUUGCUUUCUUCUACAUGCUGACCACCACUUGAGCCAGCACCAUAUGUUCUGGUUUCACUCUAGCCCAGGCUGUCCUGGAAAUCUUAGCAGUCUGUGAGUGCAUGGGUAAGCCACCAUGCCUGGCGUAUUUUAGUAUAGUCAAAAGUUAAUUUGGCCUUCCUUCAAAGCCCCCCCCCCUUCUUUUUUUUUUGCACAACAGUACAGUAUAUAAUACUUUCAUUACCAUAGCAUUAUCUAACCCAGCAAGUUAAAGUUUUGAAGUGGCUCUUCAUGCUACUUUUUUUCUCCUUCCUUUGACAUAUUUUAAUGAACUGGUUUAUUUUUGGUCUUUGAUCAGUUACUAAAACUACAACAUUGUCUUUUACUAUUUUUUUUUAAACUUAAUUACAAACUCUUUGGGUAACAUCCCCAAGUUCUGAUUACCUGUUUCUCAUUAGAGAUGUUCAUUGAAUGUUGACUGAAUAUGUCAGCAGUACCUUUGAAACCCAUGCCAGUCUUUGGUCAGAAAGAGAUUGUGUUCAUCUUAAAGGAAGAGAAAGAGGAGAGUUAAGGGCCUCAAAUAGGAACUCCUAAAUUUUACAAAAUGGUCCUUUCUUUCUUUCUUUCUUUCUUUCUUUCUUUCUUUCUUUCUUUCUUUCUUUCUUUCUUCGUUCGUUAGUUCGUUCGUUUAUUCACUCACUCAUUCAUUGUGGGCUCUUGCUCUGUCAUUCUCUUAAGUUGAAUAAACUGGGUCCUGGUGCUUCUCUGGCUCUAAGUAAGGUCAGAAUCAACCUCUUUAUGUAUGAAGUAGAGAAGGAAUUUUUAUUUGAGCAGUGCUUUCUUCAGCAUGGAGUUAAGGCAGGAGGAUGGGAAGGUAAACAGUUUGUUCCUUAAAAAUCACCUAGGAAGAGUCAGAUGGCUAGGUCUGUGGCUACACACUUAACACCGGGCUUCAGUUCUUAGACUGGAGUUUUGUAAUGUUUUCGGUUCAGAUGUUGUGUGACAAGUGAUGAUCUCUUUGCCAUUGUGCACCACCCCCUCCUAAAUUAGAUACAUUCCCCCUCUGCUUCCAGACGUCUCCAUCUCUUGGUCUCUUGACAGAGCAAUCAUUUAUCAAGUUGUUUCAUUAGUUGUCCAGAGGGGGCCCUGGGAACUUGAGUUUGUUUCGUCCCUUUGUUGGAGCUCCACAGGAUCUUCCAGCUCAGUCUCCAGCCAACUGCUGAGAGUUGCUGGACUCCAGGAACAAAUGUUAAAGGGGCUGCCUUUCAUCUUGCUGCUGCUUCAACCUUUAUCUUAAAUUGCAACUUAUUGGGUUUCUAAUCACCCAGUAUUGACAUAUAUACUGUUCAAAAUGAGAAUUUUGUUUUCCUUUGCAAGUUUAUCUUUUUAUAGCUUAUCAUUGAUCUUGCCUUAUAUACCCAGACACCCUACCUCCUGGGGAUGCCUGAAUGUGCUUGUGUGUGUGGUUGCUUGUUCUUUUUCUAUCUUUCCCAUUUCUUGCCCUAUAUCAUCUCUUACUGGCAGGAAAUUGUCGUCUAUAUAAAAGUAGGCAUUCUGCUUUUUAUAAGCCUUUUUGGGGGAGUAUCUUUUAAUUUAAUAAGGUGUCCCCUUUCUUGAUGUCAUAUUGUACAGAAGUAAAAUUUCCUAAAAUAGUAUAAGGAUUUAAAAAAGAUUUUGAUUUUUUUAAAAAAUUUUAUUAAGCCUUAAAGAACAAGAUAAAUAUUACUGCUUUUUAUAUUAAAGUACAUAAGUUUUUAAGUGUCUGAAAAGCAGACUUUUAUAUCUAAUGACAUUAUAUGAAGAAUGUUAACCAGCAUUCUUAGACUAUGUAUGAAUUUGAAACACAAAUGUUGUUUAUUGUAAUUUAAUAAUUUUUUUUCUGUCUCAUGCAUUCUUUUGUUAUUCUCUCUUUUUCUUUCUCUCUCUCUUUCUCUCAUCUUUAUUUUGGGAGACUGUUUCUCUGUGUAGCCCUGAGUAUCCUGACUAUACUCAUUCUGUAGACCAGGCUGGUUUCAAAUUCUGAGAACUACCUUGCCCUCCUGAGUGCUGGGAUUAAAGGUUUGAGCUACCACUUUCUAGCAUAAUUUAAUAGUUUAGGACAAAAUUUUUGUUAGAGGUUAAUAGAAAUAAAACUAUAAUGUUAAUGGGAUUUUUUCUGUGAUCCUUGCAUAUUCCUGCAAUAAUUCAUAAUAAAACCUUUAAAUGAGGUAAUCCAGAGAGAACUCUAAGUUAAGAAUACAGGCUGCUCUUCAAGGGUGCCUGGAUUUGAAUUCCAGCAUCUUUAUGGAGGCUCACAACCAUCUGUAACUCCAGUUUCAGGGGAACCUGAUGCCCUUUUCUGACCUUCAUGGAGUCCUGCACAGGUGUGUUAACAUUCAUAUACUCAGGUGCAUGUACCCACACACAAUAUUUAUCUAUUUAUUUAUUUAUUUAGGUUUUUUUUUUUUUUUUUAGACAGGGCUUACAUAAUUUUUAAAAAGUUAAAAAAUUUAACAAAAAGGUUGAAAGAUUGGUACACUAAUGAUAGUUUGCUUUUUAAAAAUGUACCUCCUUACAAAUGGAAUAAAAUUUAGUUGAUUCCAGAUUGAAUAUUUUACUGUCCUGAUUCUGAAGUGAGUUUGUUUUAGCUAGAGUACAUCUGAUUCCAGAAUCCUUGGUAUGGAGAAUCAUAAAGUUAAAUAAGAACAGCGUCCUCUGUUCUCAUCAGGUGUUUAGCUUAAAAAUACUUAGACAGGGACUCAGUGAUUAAUAAAUUCAAUUUCCAGCAUCCGUUUAGUGGCUCCAUAAC
This is a long non-coding RNA of Mus musculus (house mouse), 15413 nucleotides long. RefSeq annotates it as predicted gene, 53339. The record is from RefSeq and is a predicted model, not a curated record. Lineage: Eukaryota; Metazoa; Chordata; Mammalia; Rodentia; Muridae. The transcript has 2 exons.